This 315-nucleotide unclassified non-coding RNA is filed under the name Hemileccinum rubropunctum. RNAcentral describes it as "Boletus rubropunctus partial internal transcribed spacer region". The stretch from base 1 to 46 matches the Rfam family "Eukaryotic small subunit ribosomal RNA", at positions 1786 to 1831 of the family's 1831-position model. Lineage: Eukaryota; Fungi; Basidiomycota; Agaricomycetes; Boletales; Boletaceae. The record is from RNAcentral.
AAGUCGUAACAAGGUUUCCGUAGGUGAACCUGCGGAAGGAUCAUUAUCGAAUUUUGAUUUCGAGGAGAAAGGGCAUCGAUUGUCGCUGGCUGGCUUUUCAGCAUGUGCACAUCUAUGCUUUCUCACCUCGUCUCAUAUCCCACACACCUGUGCACCUAUUGUAGGUCCUCGAAAGAGGAUCUAUGUUUUUUCUACAUCACACACGUCGUAUGUCUAGAAUGUAUUUGAUAACUUGUCGAUCAGGCUUGAUUGUCCUGGUCCCCAAGGUUCAAUAAAACCACUAUACAACUUUCAGCAAUGGAUCUCUUGGCUCUC